UUUCAAUACCAACGUGACCCUGAGCUCGGAGGCAGGCAGUGGUGAGCCCCUUUGUCUGUGGCAUCCGGGCCGAUGCUGAAUGUGGAGAAGACAGUCAGUCAGUGGAAACUGGAGCCAGCUUCUGUGACGACGUUCAGGAGUGACAGACCCAGUCACCGCCUCCUGCCCCGGGGCAGGUGGCAGCGUUUGGCAUCUUGGACGAGGGAGGAGGACUAAAACCAAGGCUUACACAAGGCUUCCUGGGACCGCACUAGGUUGGAGCUGGCAGAGGAAGGAGGCCAGGCUGUGCUGUGUACUGAUUACCUAGCCAGCAGAGGGCGGCUCUGGGCGCCGUCUUCUGUUUUCUGGGUGGAGCGAGGAGCUGGGAGGGAGCGUCUCUGUUGCAAUGGGGAGAAGCCGGGCCAGUCUGGAGUCUCAGGACAACAUCUGUGGAGCUCCUUUGCAGAGAGGCCAGAUGUGCAGACAGUCACGCAGCGGUCAUCCAGUGGGUGGGACCAUCAUCUUCAGUGUCCUUAUUUAUACAAUUCAUUUGAGUUAUCCAGGCUACAGAUUGGAUAUGCCUGCUUCUAGAACCUUUCACGUUUCUUCAAGCAGAACUCUGACCCAGGCUGCUGACCCAGAAGAUGAAAUGAGAAAACAGAGGGACAGGAGAGUUCAUCCGGGAUGAAUCCAAGUGGACCGUCAUCAGAGACUCCUCCCUCUCCCAAAGUCUGCCAACAUAGCCUCAGGGAAGUCUUUGGGGUGUAGGGUGGGGGAGAGGAACUUCUUCAGGUGGGCAGAUACCAUGGGUGAGGGGUGACAGCAGGCCUUUCUGUGACCCAGAGCUGAUUGGUCACCUUGCUUUGGGACCAGGGCGUGACCUCCGGCCAACAUCCAAGGGUAAAUGUGUGCCUUCAGACAUUUCUUUCCCAGGAAGUGAUUAGCCAGCCAGACCUGUUGUCCUUCGAGGGGAGCAAAUUACCCAGGCAGAUGUAAUUACCCAUUCCCUCUGUUAUUAGCGCCUGGCUAAGGAGAUUGAAGCAAUCCGCCUCGCUCCCCCAUUUCAAAGCUUACUCACAAGACCGCAUCCCUGAUAUUAAACACAAUGAGACUU
Nannospalax galili (Upper Galilee mountains blind mole rat) is the source of this 1093-nucleotide long non-coding RNA. RefSeq lists it as uncharacterized. Lineage: Eukaryota; Metazoa; Chordata; Mammalia; Rodentia; Spalacidae. The transcript is spliced from 3 exons. The record is from RefSeq and is a predicted model, not a curated record.